This 253-nucleotide ribosomal RNA is filed under the name uncultured bacterium. Its description in RNAcentral is "partial 16S ribosomal RNA". It matches the Rfam family "Bacterial small subunit ribosomal RNA", at positions 524 to 776 of the family's 1533-position model. The record is from RNAcentral.
UACAGAGACUGCAAGCGUUAUUCGGAUUCACUGGGCGUAAAGGGUGCGCAGGCGGCCGUGUGUGUGAGGCGUGAAAGCCCGGGGCUUAACCCCGGAAUUGCACCUCAAACUACACGGCUAGAGCAUUGGAGAGGGUAGCAGAAUUCACGGUGUAGCAGUGAAAUGCGUAGAUAUCGUGAGGAACACCAGUGGCGAAGGCGGUUGCCUGGAGCUUUGCUGACGCUGAGGCGCGAAAGCGUGGGGAGCGAUCCGG